ACUAACAUCUUUGUUAUUUUUAUCAUGAACUACGAGGUUUUUAUCCUCCAUUGCGCUUUGUUGGUAUGUAGGCAUGAGACUCAGAAAAUCUUGGCAAACACAAAAUCAUAAAUAAACAUUUCUCUUCCCAUCUCCCCAAUCUUUUUCAAACAACACCAUUUUAAGCCAAAAUGCACAGAUUUUCAAAGAGGUUCCUAUAGAGUACUAUAGAUGUUUAGGGUGCUAAUACAUUCCCUUUGCAUAACUAACCCCCAAAC
RNAcentral lists this long non-coding RNA (257 nucleotides) under Lathyrus oleraceus (garden pea). RNAcentral describes it as "Pisum sativum (pea) long non-coding RNA (PSAT_LNC027620)". Lineage: Eukaryota; Viridiplantae; Streptophyta; Magnoliopsida; Fabales; Fabaceae. The record is from RNAcentral.